Molecule: non-coding RNA, 888 nt
Filed under: Bembrops curvatura (brownspotted flathead)
Lineage: Eukaryota; Metazoa; Chordata; Actinopteri; Perciformes
Source: RNAcentral
ACCCCCGUGAGAAUGCCCCCACCCCGCUCCCUGACCGGGAGCAAGGAGCUGGUAUCAGGCACAUCCCCAUAGCCCAUGACACCUUGCUAAGCCACACCCUCAAGGGAUCUCAGCAGUGAUAAACAUUAAGCCAUAAGUGAAAACUUGACUUAGUUAAAGCUAAAAGGGCCGGUAAAACUCGUGCCAGCCACCGCGGUUAUACGAGAGGCCCAAGUUGACUGCCGCCGGCGUAAAGAGUGGUUAAGCCAGAGGAAAUUCACUAAAGCCGAAUGCCCUUAGAGCCGUUAUACGCACCCAAAGGUAAGAAGCCCAAUUACGAAAGUAGCUUUACUCCCCUGAACCCACGAAAGCUAGGACACAAACUGGGAUUAGAUACCCCCYUAUGCCUAGCCGUAAACAUAGAUAGCAAACUACCCCCACUAUCCGCCCGGGAACUACAAGCAUUAGCUUGAAACCCAAAGGACUUGGCGGUGCUUUAGACCCCCCUAGAGGAGCCUGUUCUAGAACCGAUACCCCCCGUUAAACCUCACCUUUCCUUGCCCCCCCCCGCCUAUAUACCGCCGUCGUCAGCUUACCCUGUGAAGGCCUCAUAGUAAGCAAAAUUGGCACAGCCCAAAACGUCAGGUCGAGGUGUAGCGCAUGAAAAGGGAAGAAAUGGGCUACAUUCACUGCCACAGUGAACACGAACAACGCACUGAAACGUGCCUUUGAAGGAGGAUUUAGCAGUAAGCGGAAAAUAGAGCGUUCCGCUGAAACUGGCCCUGAAGCGCGCACACACCGCCCGUCACUCUCCCCAAGCCCCAAAACCUUCCUACAUAAGACCUUAAAUUCGCGAAGGGGAGGCAAGUCGUAACAUGGUAAGCGUACCGGAAGGUGCGCUUGGAAAAC